Molecule: ribosomal RNA, 1128 nt
Filed under: uncultured Flavobacteriaceae bacterium
Lineage: Bacteria; Pseudomonadati; Bacteroidota; Flavobacteriia; Flavobacteriales; Flavobacteriaceae
Description: bacterial SSU rRNA
Rfam family: Bacterial small subunit ribosomal RNA
Source: RNAcentral
UGCCGCGUGCAGGAUGACUGCCCUAUGGGUUGUAAACUGCUUUUAUAUAGGAAGAAAAACUUUCUCGUGAGAAAGCUUGACGGUACUAUAAGAAUAAGGAUCGGCUAACUCCGUGCCAGCAGCCGCGGUAAUACGGAGGAUCCAAGCGUUAUCCGGAAUCAUUGGGUUUAAAGGGUCCGUAGGUGGACAAAUAAGUCAGAGGUGAAAUCCUGCAGCUCAACUGUAGAACUGCCUUUGAUACUGUUUGUCUUGAGUUAUUAUGAAGUGGUUAGAAUGUGUAGUGUAGCGGUGAAAUGCAUAGAUAUUACACAGAAUACCGAUUGCGAAGGCAGAUCACUAAUAAUCAACUGACACUGAUGGACGAAAGCGUGGGUAGCGAACAGGAUUAGAUACCCUGGUAGUCCACGCCGUAAACGGUGGUCACUAGCUGUUUGGACUUCGGUCUGAGUGGCUAAGCGAAAGUGAUAAGUGACCCACCUGGGGAGUACGUUCGCAAGAAUGAAACUCAAAGGAAUUGACGGGGGCCCGCACAAGCGGUGGAGCAUGUGGUUUAAUUCGAUGAUACGCGAGGAACCUUACCAGGGCUUAAAUGUUAGGUGACAGAUCUAGAAAUAGAUUUUUCUUCGGACACUUAACAAGGUGCUGCAUGGUUGUCGUCAGCUCGUGCCGUGAGGUGUCAGGUUAAGUCCUAUAACGAGCGCAACCCCUGUUGUUAGUUGCCAGCGAGUAAUGUCGGGAACUCUAGCAAGACUGCCAGUGCAAACUGUGAGGAAGGUGGGGAUGACAUCAAAUCAUCACGGCCCUUACGUCCUGGGCUACACACGUGCUACAAUGGUAGGUACAGAGAGCAGCCAAUGCGCGAGCAUGAGCAAAUCUAUAAAACCUAUCUCAGUUCGGAUCGGAGUCUGCAACUCGACUCCGUGAAGCUGGAAUCGCUAGUAGUCGGAUAUCAGCCAUGAUCCGGUGAAUACGUUCCCGGGCCUUGUACACACCGCCCGUCAAGCCAUGGAAGUUGGGAGUGCCUGAAGUCCGUUUCCGCAAGGAUCGGCCUAGGGUAAAAUCGAUAACUAGGGCUAAGUCGUAACAAGGUAGCCGUACCGGAAGGUGCGGCUGGAACACCUCCUUUCU